CAGUCGCCACGGGAACACGUAGGGUGCAAGCGUUAAUCGGAAUUACUGGGCGUAAAGCGUGCGCAGGCGGUUUGUUAAGACAGAUGUGAAAUCCCCGGGCUCAACCUGGGAACUGCAUUUGUGACUGGCAAGCUAGAGUAUGGCAGAGGGGGGUGGAAUUCCGCGUGUAGCAGUGAAAUGCGUAGAUAUGCGGAGGAACACCGAUGGCGAAGGCAGCCCCCUGGGCCAAUACUGACGCUCAUGCACGAAAGCGUGGGGAGUAAACAGGAUUAGAUACCCCUGUAGUCCCUGUCUCUUAUAC
This 301-nucleotide ribosomal RNA is filed under the name uncultured bacterium. Its description in RNAcentral is "partial 16S ribosomal RNA". It matches the Rfam family "Bacterial small subunit ribosomal RNA", at positions 509 to 807 of the family's 1533-position model. The record is from RNAcentral.